ACCGACGAAGGCGACUACCAGAUCAAGCUGCGCAACAUGCGCCGGUUCCUGGAAGAAGGCGACAAGGUCAAGGUCAACAUCCGCUUCCGUGGCCGCGAGAUGAGCCAUCAGGAACUCGGUCGCGAGAUGGCGGCCCGGAUCGAGGCCGACCUGGGCGAGGACAUCGUGAUCGAGUCGCGUCCGCGCCUGGAAGGGCGGCAGAUGGUCAUGAUGAUCGCGCCGAAGAAGAAGACCUGAUCGCCCGGCAUCCGCUGGGUCGGUCCGAAAGCCCCCGCCGCGUGCGGGGGU
Molecule: unclassified non-coding RNA, 288 nt
Filed under: Lysobacter sp. cf310
Lineage: Bacteria; Pseudomonadati; Pseudomonadota; Gammaproteobacteria; Lysobacterales; Lysobacteraceae
Description: Long range pseudoknot
Source: RNAcentral